This 3717-nucleotide long non-coding RNA is filed under the name Hordeum vulgare. Its description in RNAcentral is "long non-coding RNA (HVUL_LNC012790)". The record is from RNAcentral. Lineage: Eukaryota; Viridiplantae; Streptophyta; Magnoliopsida; Poales; Poaceae.
CGUCAUCACCCCUCCCUCAACGAAGUCGGGCAAACCUUAUUGUAAUAGAUAGUCAGCAAAUCAUCGUGUUAAGAUCCCACAAGACCAAUGCAUUAAAGUAGCAAUCAUCGUCUAUAAAGAAAGUCAUAGGUCAGAAGGAUCAAACCUGUAAAUACCCAAACAAAGACGAACAAAGAUCGAAUCCAAACACAUCCAUCAAAGACUAGUGCCGAUCUGCGAGAUCCGAUGAUGACACACCUCUACAUGCCCUUCAAUGAUGUUAAACGCGCCAUCGGUAUAGAUCCAGAACAUGGGCGACAUUAUUCCUACUAAGGAACAUCGCUACCGCCACACAACCCCAACCAACAUGCCGAACCUAACAAGAAUGAGAACGGGCCCCUCCCACCGGUGGGGGCCAAGAUCUCAUCCAUGUCCUAGAGGCCAUCGAAGAUGGGGCGGACCGACGGCGCGGCACCGACGAGAGGAGAAGAGAUUUUCUUGUGAAGAAAGAAAGAGAUGUUGGCCUUGCAACUUUGCGACCUACCACCUACCUGUUUACUGCCCCUUCGUAUUCUAGGUCAUAUUUUAACCAGAAUUUGAACUAAUAAAAUAUAUAGCAAAAAUAAUACUCUUGGGAACUAUAUUCAAAUACAAAACAAACAAUAUAAUUUUUGGUGACAUUCAUUAAUAUUUUGCUAGUUAAAUAUGCGGUCAAAAUUUAAUCGAAAAUAUGAUAGAGACUAGUAAAACAGGACAAAUGUAGUACUCCCUGUGUACGAAAGUAAUUAUAGUUGAAGAGAACUAGAUUAGUUGUCCUUAACUAUAAUUAUUUUGAUACACAUGACGUCUAAAGAUUUCACUACGGAUUACAUAUGAAUGUAUAUAGACAUACAUUAGAUGUAGAUUUACUCAUUUUAUUUCGUAUGUAGUCUCUAAUGAAAUUUUCAAAAAGAUUUAUAUUUAAAAACGGUGGGAGUAGUUUUUAGGGAUGUUUUGCUAUGUAAACGGUGGGAGUAGUUUUUAGGAAUCUUUUGCUACGAAUGAUCAGUGUACUCCAAUUGGAUGACUGGCUGGCUGUCCAGAUAUUAAGGACAGUAAAACUGCACCUAAUCCCUGCCCUCUCAGCUAUUAGACAUUUCUGGCCGUCUAUUUUUAUGAUCUUUGCAUUUUGGCCGUCUGAUCUGUUGUUAGAUCGCGCCUGUGUCACGUAAUUACAGAAUCAUGGGCAAGCUGUCCUGAAGGCAGCUAUUCCACAGGCCGAAAUAGAGCCCAUAGGUUAAUUGGGCCCUCUCUCUCUCCACCGCACGGCUCAUCCUGUGAAUCUCAUGAUCGAUGACGCCUCUACGAAGGAGAAAAAAACAUACAAACUCUUUCUUUUCUUCUCCAACCUCUGCUCUCUCACGAGGCUGCAAACCCUAGCUGCCCCCAUCGCCGCCAGAUCCUAUUGCUCUUCCCAACCCCCUACGGGUGGAAAUUGUUCGAUUGGCAUUGGAGGCGAUCUGGAUCAGGGGGUGGUGCGACGUGGCAUCUACCGCGUCGUUGACGAUCGGUCUUGGCUGCAUGGUGUAGCAAAGUCUUGGUGUUGGAUGUGUCUUGAUGGCGUGCGUAGAGAGAUGGUGUUGUCUCGCGUCGUGGUGACGUCGACAACAGGCCUGACAUGAUCGAAGAUGGAUCUGUGGAAGACGGCGGCAGCGGACUCUGAGAGUGUGCCAGACCGGUGCAUGCCUUAAAUCGGCAAGCGGCUUGGUUGAGGCCUUCAGCUUUAGAUGUUAGGCUUUGGUGCGAGGUCUAUUUGGUAUUCGGCUCGAACUAUUGACACCCCUUCAUUGACUGGAUAGGAGUAGCGACAGAUGUUGUGAAUAUGGUGGCUUCAGACUUAUUAAUGUGUUACUUAUGAGAUUUUUAUAAAUAUUUAAUAAAAUGACUGCAUGCAUCGUCUAGAUGCAAAGGCUAGGGCUCCCAAGACGACGCCUUCAAAAAGGGAAUGAUGCCAAUGACACCGUCGUCGCCCACCGCAGUUAGGGCUUUCACCCGGGAGACAAAAGGGCGUGGUGGACUUAUAGGCAGAUUCGACGAAUGUCUCCUUGGAGAAGAAACGGCGCCCUCGGGCAUCGCCGUCGUCAUCGCCCACCAGGGCCGACAAAGGAUUUCUCUCGAUCUGAAUCCCACCUCCAGCUCCAUCUGAAUCGAGGACCAGCACGACCCAAAUCCGUACAAAGAAAAGCACACCAAGCAUGGGGGAGGAGGCGACCAAAUCCACCACCAUCCGUGUCACCUGCAGCCGUCAGGAUCCAGAUCCAACCGCCACCCUAUCUGAAGGCCCGACCACGUCCAACACACCCCACCAAAGAGAUCACGUAGCCGUCAUGAAGCCGUCCCGCUGCCGAGCCCCACGCCGAGCCCGACGCCCCUGUUGGCUAGCACAAACCCGCGCCGUCGGCACCAAGCAAGGAGGACAGAAGGUCCCCGCCGCGGCACACACCAACCGGGCUUCGCCCAGGCGGCGGGAGGGGGAAGGAGGAGGUCGAGGGAGAGGGAGGAAACCGGCGGAGAGAGGCCUGUCCGGCCGCCGAGCGGGGGCGACGCGGACGAGCAGGAGGAGUCCACAAAUAUGCACGAAUGUGUUUGUCAUUUAUAUUUAUCUUUUCUCUGGCUCUCUUUUUUUUUAGGGUUCUCUAGCUCUCUUCAACUCAUUAAUUAUAUUGUAUGCAUAUGACCAGAUAGUUUAAGAAAAACUGCACACAUGGAUAAAUAAGGAUUCAAUUAAAAAAUUGAAAGUGGACACCUCCGAACAUUGGUUGGAGAUGCUCUAAACUGGUUAAAGAGGUGUUGUAAACGAAAAUUGCGUUUCCUGGCCGAGCUUCAUGGAGGCCUUUAAAUUUAAAAUUCAAAUUUUAUUAAAAUUCAUAUUUUUACAUUUUAAAAAAUUCUAAAAACAAAUACAGGGAUAAGUGAAGGCGUAACACACGUGUGUGUAAAUUUUUAGAAAAAAUACAUUGAAACGAGGGCUGUGUAAAAAAGACAAAUCUGAGGCUUUUUUACACAUGAUAUUAUUCAUCGUUUCAUGUCAUGAAUUUGUUUUUUUGUGCAGAUUGUAUUUCAAAAUAUUUCAUCCUAAAUUUUUACACACAUACACAUAACAUCCUUCUUUACUUCAUAUUCUUUUUCAGAUUUUUUUGAAACCGAAAAGUUUGAAUUUUGAAUUAUUCAAAAAUUUAGGCCUUCAUAGAGGCCGAGCUCCAAACGUCCGCACUCUGUUGUAGAGUAAUAAAAAGCUGCUCCAAACGUAAAUUACCGGAGGAAUCCUUCGUUCGCAGCUCCGCCCAGUUGGUGCAGCUUGGCUGCUUCAGGUAGAACGCAUCCAGGACCUCCACGGAAUCGCAGGCCGGGCUCCUGCUCCCCACGCCGAACCGCACCGGCGCAGGCGCCAUCGCGGCGGCAGCUGGCGACGCGCCGUCGACGGCGAUGCUCCAAAGCGUGAGCAAAGAGAGGAACACGAGCAAGCUCCUUGUCGCCGGCAACUCCAUGCGCGAGGCUAAGAACUCACCGGUAUUACGUACUAGUACUACUUAACUGGGGGUAAAUUACUGGUUCAUCAGUGGUUUAUCUAGGUCGACAUGUCCAUAGCACGUAGCCAUCAACCGACGUACGUGAAGUAGUGGCGGGCCGGAUGGCCAUACAGCUUGCUGCGGCCAAAUUUCCGGGAAACUUCCGAGAGCUAGCACGAUGACUUUCCAG